This 114-nucleotide ribosomal RNA is filed under the name Panthera tigris altaica (Amur tiger). The record is from RNAcentral. Lineage: Eukaryota; Metazoa; Chordata; Mammalia; Carnivora; Felidae.
GACUUUUGGUAGAGACUGUUGAAGCCACCUGGUCCCAGCAGACCCCAGAAAAUGGCCACAUUCGCUGGUGCUGGAAACAAGGUCAUUAAGGGUGAAGCCUGGUGCCAGAUGUGU